This 232-nucleotide ribosomal RNA is filed under the name uncultured bacterium. Its description in RNAcentral is "partial 16S ribosomal RNA". It matches the Rfam family "Bacterial small subunit ribosomal RNA", at positions 103 to 334 of the family's 1533-position model. The record is from RNAcentral.
CGGGUGAGUAACGCGUGAGGAACCUGCCUCAAAGAGGGGGACAACAGUUGGAAACGACUGCUAAUACCGCAUAAGCCCACGGCUCGGCAUCGAGCAGAGGGAAAAGGAGCAAUCCGCUUUGAGAUGGCCUCGCGUCCGAUUAGCUAGUUGGUGAGGUAACGGCCCACCAAGGCACGAUCGGUAGCCGGACUGAGAGGUUGAACGGCCACAUUGGGACUGAGACACGGCCCAG